This 28-nucleotide small RNA is filed under the name Bombyx mori (domestic silkworm). RNAcentral describes it as "ovarian small RNA-24906". Lineage: Eukaryota; Metazoa; Arthropoda; Insecta; Lepidoptera; Bombycidae. The record is from RNAcentral.
UCAAUUACAUUAGUGACAUUGUAGACAU